GGAAAUGAAAGGUGGCCUCUGCUUGCAAGCUGCCGCUCAUGGGUGAACCUGCGGUCCAUUAGCCAGUUGGUGAGGUAACGGCUCACCAAAGCUACGAUGGAUAGCCGGCCUGAGAGGGCGAUCGGCCACACUGGGACUGAGACACGGUCCAGACUCCUACGGGAGGCAGCAGUGAGGAAUUUUGCGCAAUGGGGGAAACCCUGACGCAGCAACGCCGCGUGAGUGAUGAAGGCCUUCGGGUCGUAAAGCUCUGUCAAGCGGGAAGAAACUGACCCGUGCUAAUAUCACGGGACACUGACGGUACCGCUGAAGGAAGCACCGGCUAACUCCGUG
This 333-nucleotide ribosomal RNA is filed under the name uncultured bacterium. Its description in RNAcentral is "bacterial SSU rRNA". It matches the Rfam family "Bacterial small subunit ribosomal RNA", at positions 196 to 507 of the family's 1533-position model. The record is from RNAcentral.